UACGUAGGGGGCGAGCGUUGUCCGGAUUUAUUGGGCGUAAAGAGCUCGUAGGCGGCUCAGUAAGUCGGCUGUGAAAGUCCGAGGCUCAACCUCGGAACUGCAGUCGAUACUGCUGUGGCUAGAGUCAGGUAGAGGAGAAUGGAAUUCCCGGUGUAGCGGUGGAAUGCGCAGAUAUCGGGAGGAACACCAGUAGCGAAGGCGGUUCUCUGGGCCUGUACUGACGCUGAGGAGCGAAAGCGUGGGGAGCAAACAGG
Molecule: unclassified non-coding RNA, 254 nt
Filed under: Actinomycetota bacterium
Lineage: Bacteria; Bacillati; Actinomycetota
Also listed under: 1 other name
Description: partial 16S ribosomal RNA
Rfam family: Bacterial small subunit ribosomal RNA
Source: RNAcentral